UGUUUCCAAUAUCGAAGACAGU
This 22-nucleotide microRNA is filed under the name Saccoglossus kowalevskii. Its description in RNAcentral is "sko-miR-4837". Lineage: Eukaryota; Metazoa; Hemichordata; Enteropneusta; Harrimaniidae. The record is from miRBase by way of RNAcentral.